This 587-nucleotide long non-coding RNA is filed under the name Lactuca sativa (garden lettuce). Lineage: Eukaryota; Viridiplantae; Streptophyta; Magnoliopsida; Asterales; Asteraceae. The record is from RNAcentral.
UAAUGGGGGGUGAAAGUGGGUUAGAUCUGAUCCCACAUCGGCUGGGAAGGAGAACUAAGCAUUCCUUAUAAGGGGUGUGGAUACCUUCCCUAUCACAACCCGUUUUAAAGCCGUGAGGGCAGCAGAUCCCAUAAGAACUCUGCAGUUAAGCGUGCUCGGGCGGGAGUAGUACCAGGAUGGGUGACCCCCUGGGAAGUCCUCGUGCCGAGUGGCCCAAAGCGGACAAUAUUGUGAUACGUGCCAGAGGGGGAUGUUACAAAUGGUAUCAGAGCUAGGGCACGGGUCGAUGUGUUCGACGGGGACGUCGAACCCUAUAAUGGGGGGUGAAAGUGGGUUAGAUCUGAUCCCACAUCGGCUGGGAAGGUGAACUAAGCAUUCCUUAUAAGGGGUGUGGAUACCUUCCCUAUCACAACGCGUUUUAAAGCCGUGAGGGCAACAGAUCCCAUAAGAACUCUGCAGUUAAGCGUGCUCGGGCGGGAGUAGUACCAGGAUGGGUGACCCCCUGGGAAGUCCUCGUGCCGAGUGGCCCAAAGCGGACAAUAUUGUGAUACGUGCCAGAGGGGGAUGUUACAGUAAGCACAAAAAUU